Molecule: ribosomal RNA, 442 nt
Filed under: uncultured bacterium
Lineage: Bacteria
Description: bacterial SSU rRNA
Rfam family: Bacterial small subunit ribosomal RNA
Source: RNAcentral
CCUACGGGAGGCAGCAGUGAGGAAUCUUCCACAAUGGGCGAAAGCCUGAUGGAGCAACGCCGCGUGAAGGAUGAAGGCCUUCGGGUUGUAAACUUCUUUUAUGAGUGAAGAAUAUGACGGUAACUCAUGAAUAAGCACCGGCUAACUACGUGCCAGCAGCCGCGGUCAUACGUAGGGUGCGAGCAUUAUCCGGAGUGACUGGGCGUAAAGAGUUGCGUAGGCGGUAAGUCAAGUGAAUAGUGAAACCUGGUGGCUCAACCAUACAGACUAUUAUUCAAACUGGCUUACUCGAGAGUGGUAGAGGUCACUGGAAUUUCUUGUGUAGGAGUGAAAUCCGUAGAUAUAAGAAGGAACACCGAUGGCGUAGGCAGGUGACUGGACCAUUUCUGACGCUAAGGCACGAAAGCGUGGGGAGCGAACCGGAUUAGAUACCCUUGUAGUC